GGUGGCAUGGGGUAGCCACGCCGGCGCGGCCCAGCGUAUUUGUUGCCGGUGGGGUCGCCAGCGACGCCCAGUUCCCACUCGGCGCGGUCGUAGUCCGGCUCCAGGUCCUCAUAGGAUAUCGGCCAGUCGGCCAGCGAGCUCUUUUCAGGUAUAGCGUAAAUGCUAGCCAUGCGGAAGUCUUCCGGGCAGAAGCGCCAGCUCUGGGCGCCAUAGACCCUGCUACCGCCCCCAACGGUCAUCGCGUUAUUGUGCCAGU
RNAcentral lists this unclassified non-coding RNA (256 nucleotides) under uncultured fungus. RNAcentral describes it as "sequence contains ITS1". Lineage: Eukaryota; Fungi. The record is from RNAcentral.